Molecule: ribosomal RNA, 253 nt
Filed under: uncultured bacterium
Lineage: Bacteria
Description: partial 16S ribosomal RNA
Rfam family: Bacterial small subunit ribosomal RNA
Source: RNAcentral
UACGGAGGGUGCAAGCAUUAAUCGGAAUUAUUGGGCGUAAAGGGCGCGUAGGCGGAUAUAUAAGUCAGAUGUGAAAUUCCGAGACUCAAUUUCGGAGCUGCAUUUGAAACUGUAAGUCUGGAGGUAUGGCGGAGAAAACGGAAUUCCACGUGUAGCGGUGAAAUGCGUAGAUAUGUGGAAGAACACCUGUGGCGAAAGCGGUUUUCUAGCUAUGACCUGACGCUGAGGCGCGAGAGCAAGGGGAGCAAACAGG